UGCCGCGUGUGUGAAGAAGGCCUUCGGGUUGUAAAGCACUUUUGUCCGGAAAGAAAUCGCACUUACUAAUAUUAGGUGUGGAUGACGGUACCGGAAGAAUAAGGACCGGCUAACUACGUGCCAGCAGCCGCGGUAAUACGUAGGGUCCAAGCGUUAAUCGGAAUUACUGGGCGUAAAGCGUGCGCAGGCGGUUGUGCAAGACCGAUGUGAAAUCCCCGGGCUUAACCUGGGAAUUGCAUUGGUGACUGCACGGCUAGAGUGUGUCAGAGGGGGGUAGAAUUCCACGUGUAGCAGUGAAAUGCGUAGAGAUGUGGAGGAAUACCGAUGGCGAAGGCAGCCCCCUGGGAUAACACUGACGCUCAUGCACGAAAGCGUGGGGAGCAAACAGGAUUAGAUACCCUGGUAGUCCACGCCCUAAACGAUGUCAACUAGUUGUUGGGGAUUCAUUUCCUUAGUAACGUAGCUAACGCGUGAAGUUGACCGCCUGGGGAGUACGGUCGCAAGAUUAAACUCAAGGGAAUUGACGG
RNAcentral lists this ribosomal RNA (527 nucleotides) under uncultured bacterium. RNAcentral describes it as "bacterial SSU rRNA". It matches the Rfam family "Bacterial small subunit ribosomal RNA", at positions 395 to 916 of the family's 1533-position model. The record is from RNAcentral.